CCAUAAGCAACGACGGGAACGAGUAGCGGACUGUCUCCCUGUUCCAGAGAGCCGGCGGCUGGUGCGAGCCGGUACAAAGGCAGACGUGAAUUACCUCCCUGAGCUUUCUUUGUGAACCUUCAAGUAGCAAAGAACGGGAAGCCGUUACCGGAAAUUGAGCGGAAGAUGAAGGUCUUCAAUCAGGGUGGUACCGCGUGCAUUUGAGCCACGUCCCUUAU
This 218-nucleotide non-coding RNA is filed under the name Bacillus licheniformis. RNAcentral describes it as "T-box sequence". It matches the Rfam family "T-box leader". From Rfam's summary of the family: Uncharged tRNA acts as the effector for transcription antitermination of genes in the T-box leader family. T-boxes are found upstream of many aminoacyl-tRNA synthetase genes and some amino acid biosynthetic genes usually in Gram-positive bacteria. The anticodon of a specific tRNA base pairs to a specifier sequence within the T-box motif, and the NCCA acceptor tail of the tRNA base pairs to a conserved bulge in the T-box antiterminator hairpin. RNAcentral also lists the same sequence under 1 other name. The record is from RNAcentral. Lineage: Bacteria; Bacillati; Bacillota; Bacilli; Caryophanales; Bacillaceae.